GACGAACGCUGGCGGCGUGCUUAACACAUGCAAGUCGAACGGAAAGGCCCUGCUUUUGUGGGGUGCUCGAGUGGCGAACGGGUGAGUAACACGUGAGUAACCUGCCCUUGACUUUGGGAUAACUUCAGGAAACUGGGGCUAAUACCGGAUAGGAGCUCCUGCUGCAUGGUGGGGGUUGGAAAGUUUCGGCGGUUGGGGAUGGACUCGCGGCUUAUCAGCUUGUUGGUGGGGUAGUGGCUUACCAAGGCUUUGACGGGUAGCCGGCUUGAGAGGGUGACCGGCCACAUUGGGACUGAGAUACGGCCCAGACUCCUACGGGAGGCAGCAGUGGGGAAUAUUGCACAAUGGGCGGAAGCCUGAUGCAGCAACGCCGCGUGCGGGAUAACGGCCUUCGGGUUGUAAACCGCUUUCGCCUGUGACGAAGCGUGAGUGACGGUAAUGGGUAAAGAAGCACCGGCUAACUACGUG
This 468-nucleotide ribosomal RNA is filed under the name uncultured bacterium. Its description in RNAcentral is "partial 16S ribosomal RNA". It matches the Rfam family "Bacterial small subunit ribosomal RNA", at positions 28 to 507 of the family's 1533-position model. The record is from RNAcentral.